Molecule: ribosomal RNA, 253 nt
Filed under: uncultured bacterium
Lineage: Bacteria
Description: partial 16S ribosomal RNA
Rfam family: Bacterial small subunit ribosomal RNA
Source: RNAcentral
UACGAAGGGGGCUAGCGUUGUUCGGAAUUACUGGGCGUAAAGCGCACGUAGGCGGCUACUCAAGUCGGGGGUGAAAGCCCAGGGCUCAACCCUGGAAGUGCACUCGAUACUGCGAGGCUAGAGUCCCGGAGAGGAUGGUGGAACUCUCGGUGUAGAGGUGAAAUUCGUAGAUAUCGAGAAGAACACCGGUGGCGAAGGCGGCCAUCUGGACGGUGACUGACGCUGAGACGCGAAAGCGUGGGGAGCAAACAGG